RNAcentral lists this ribosomal RNA (253 nucleotides) under uncultured bacterium. Its description in RNAcentral is "partial 16S ribosomal RNA". It matches the Rfam family "Bacterial small subunit ribosomal RNA", at positions 524 to 776 of the family's 1533-position model. The record is from RNAcentral.
UACAGAGGGGGCAAGCGUUGUUCGGAAUUACUGGGCGUAAAGCGUGCGCAGGCGGCUUUGCAAGACAGAUGUGAAAUCCCCGGGCUUAACCUGGGAACUGCAUUUGUGACUGCAUGGCUGGAGUGCGGCAGAGGGGGAUGGAAUUCCGCGUGUAGCAGUGAAAUGCGUGGAUAUGCGGAGGAACACCGAUGGCGAAGGCAAUCCCCUGGGCCUGCACUGACGCUCAUGCACGAAAGCGUGGGGAGCAAACAGG